AUUGAACGCUGGCGGCAGGCCUAACACAUGCAAGUCGAACGGUAACAGGAAGAAGCUUGCUUCUUUGCUGACGAGUGGCGGACGGGUGAGUAAUGUCUGGGAAACUGCCUGAUGGAGGGGGAUAACUACUGGAAACGGUAGCUAAUACCGCAUCACGUCGCAAGACCAAAGAGGGGGACCUUCGGGCCUCUUGCCAUCGGAUGUGCCCAGAUGGGAUUAGCUAGUAGGUGGGGUAACGGCUCACCUAGGCGACGAUCCCUAGCUGGUCUGAGAGGAUGACGAGCCACACUGGAACUGAGACACGGUCCAGACUCCUACGGGAGGCAGCAGUGGGGAAUAUUGCACAAUGGGCGCAAGCCUGAUGCAGCCAUGCCGCGUGUAUGAAGAAGGCCUGCGGGUUGUAAAGUACUUUCAGCGGGGAGGAAGGGAGUAAAGUUAAUACCUUUGCUCAUUGACGUUACCCGCAGAAGAAGCACCGGCUAACUCCGUG
Molecule: ribosomal RNA, 490 nt
Filed under: uncultured bacterium
Lineage: Bacteria
Description: partial 16S ribosomal RNA
Rfam family: Bacterial small subunit ribosomal RNA
Source: RNAcentral